Triticum aestivum (bread wheat) is the source of this 135-nucleotide non-coding RNA. The record is from Rfam. Lineage: Eukaryota; Viridiplantae; Streptophyta; Magnoliopsida; Poales; Poaceae.
UACGUAUUCCCUCCGUUCGAAAAUACUUGUCAUUAAAAUGGACAAAAAAGGAUGCAUUUAGAACUAAAAUACAUCUAGAUACAGCCCCUUUUAUUCAUAUUGAUGAUAAGUAUUUCCGGACGGAAGGAGUACGAG